Molecule: signal recognition particle RNA, 98 nt
Filed under: Clostridiales bacterium
Lineage: Bacteria; Bacillati; Bacillota; Clostridia; Eubacteriales
Description: signal recognition particle sRNA small type
Rfam family: Bacterial small signal recognition particle RNA
About the family: The signal recognition particle (SRP) is a universally conserved ribonucleoprotein involved in the co-translational targeting of proteins to membranes. Archaeal SRP consists of a 7S RNA and homologues of the eukaryotic SRP19 and SRP54 proteins. In most bacteria, the SRP consists of a 4.5S RNA and the Ffh protein (a homologue of the eukaryotic SRP54 protein).
Source: RNAcentral
GUGCAGGUCCUGUGCGGCGGAGCGCCGCGAACCAUGUCAGGCGGGGAACCGAGCAGCAUUAAGCGGUAUGCCCGUGCGCCACAGCCCGCCUGUACGCC